GGCCGCGUGGCGAAAUGGAUAACGGGUCGGUCUUCGGAACCGAAGAUUGCAGGUUGGAGUCCUGCGUGGUCG
Toxocara canis (dog roundworm) is the source of this 72-nucleotide transfer RNA. It matches the Rfam family "tRNA". Rfam says of the family: Transfer RNA (tRNA) molecules are approximately 80 nucleotides in length. Their secondary structure includes four short double-helical elements and three loops (D, anti-codon, and T loops). NCBI's taxonomy places the organism in Eukaryota, Metazoa, Nematoda, Chromadorea, Rhabditida, Toxocaridae. The record is from Rfam.